CAACCCUUAAAACUGUCAUUUGACAUAUCACAAUUUUCACUAGAAAAACACAAUCAACCUUCAAACAAACACGGAAAUGAAGAUCAUUGAUGCAUGGUUUAAUAGUUUACAUCACACAAUCAUCAUCUUCCCCCUCUCAUCGGCACCAUCACCAAAAAGUUGCACUUGGCGCCAUCUCCUAGACCACUUGCACGUCCAUCAAACACCUCCAUUGUCGCCGGUGGUGGAGUCCUCCACACCGCCAUCGCCACCACCACUCAUUGGAGUGUCACCUCGAAGAGUAGAGAACACCCAUCCCGACAACGUUGAAAAACAAGUGGUUAAACAGGAUGGAAACACUUGGUUUGCAGUGCCAGCCUUCAGACACAAAUUAUACCAAGGAUAGCAUACCAAAAUGAUGCAGGUAUAAAUACAACCCAACUAUCAGUUGAACAAGGACUGCUGCCCUGCAGGAUUGAACAAGGAUUGCCCAUGCUCUGUCUGCCUAUCCUUGAUGGGCACGAAAACUGAAUUGUAAGUUGUCUGCAUAUCCUCGAUGGACACGAACUCUGAAUUGUCAGCAUGUACUUCACAGUUUCCCAACCAUUCGUGCAGCAAUUGGGCAAACGGCAAGAGGCUGCGAUAAUCUGAAUUUUCCGAGAGCACCAGACCGGAAGCCAUAGCCGGCACCGAUGUUAUCACACACUAUCACUACUUACUAGGGCUCAAGCAGAUCAGCGGGGGGAGGGAGAAGAGCGGGGCGGCACCUGGGCGAGCUUGGCGUGCUCGGCCUCCUCCUCGGCGGACAGCGGCGCGGGCUCCGGCUCCGGCUCGGCGGCACCGGGCGCCGCGGCGGCGAGGCGGGGGACGGCCGCGGUGCAGAGGGCGGGCAUCGCACGGCCGGGGACGGUAGAGGAGGCGCGCGACGUGGGAGGCAGCGCGAGGGACGGAGGCCGUCACCGCCGCCUUAGCGUCGCGAGGCACGGCAAAGGCGCCACCGGUGGGGAGAGUAGGAGCGCGAGCAUUGUUUCUUUGGGGAGCGGUCACGGGAUGGCGGCGGCGGCCUGAGAUGUGGCUGGCGGCGGCUCGGGGGAGGCGUGGGAGGAGGUUGGGAACGGGUAAUUUCCCUCCCUCGCGUGGCCGGAUCGAAGUGAGG
RNAcentral lists this long non-coding RNA (1135 nucleotides) under Hordeum vulgare. Its description in RNAcentral is "long non-coding RNA (HVUL_LNC008646)". Lineage: Eukaryota; Viridiplantae; Streptophyta; Magnoliopsida; Poales; Poaceae. The record is from RNAcentral.